UGGGGAAUAUUGGACAAUGGGCGCAAGCCUGAUCCAGCCAUGCCGCGUGAGUGAUGAAGGCCUUAGGGUUGUAAAGCUCUUUUAUCCGGGACGAUAAUGACGGUACCGGAGGAAUAAGCCCCGGCUAACUUCGUGCCAGCAGCCGCGGUAAUACGAAGGGGGCUAGCGUUGCUCGGAAUCACUGGGCGUAAAGGGCGCGUAGGCGGCGUUUUAAGUCGGGGGUGAAAGCCUGUGGCUCAACCACAGAAUGGCCUUCGAUACUGGGACGCUUGAGUAUGGUAGAGGUUGGUGGAACUGCGAGUGUAGAGGUGAAAUUCGUAGAUAUUCGCAAGAACACCGGUGGCGAAGGCGGCCAACUGGACCAUUACUGACGCUGAGGCGCGAAAGCGUGGGGAGCAAACA
RNAcentral lists this ribosomal RNA (402 nucleotides) under Pseudomonas sp. RNAcentral describes it as "partial 16S ribosomal RNA". It matches the Rfam family "Bacterial small subunit ribosomal RNA", at positions 355 to 774 of the family's 1533-position model. Lineage: Bacteria; Pseudomonadati; Pseudomonadota; Gammaproteobacteria; Pseudomonadales; Pseudomonadaceae. RNAcentral also lists the same sequence under 9 other names. The record is from RNAcentral.